This is a long non-coding RNA of Melanotaenia boesemani (Boeseman's rainbowfish), 202 nucleotides long. RefSeq lists it as uncharacterized. The record is from RefSeq and is a predicted model, not a curated record. The transcript has 3 exons. Lineage: Eukaryota; Metazoa; Chordata; Actinopteri; Atheriniformes; Melanotaeniidae.
CAGAUAUUUCAAGGGUCCUUGAGGGCUACUGUCCUGCAGGUUUUCAAUGUUUCCUGCUUCAACACACCUAACUCAAAUGAAAUGGAUCCAACAGCCAAUUAAAUUUUGCACAAUUACUCAUUAUUUUAAGUCAGGUGGUUUUGGAGCAGGGAUACAUGGAAAACCAACAGGAUUGUGGCCCUCAAGGACCGGAGCUGGACAC